AACGAACGCUGGCGGCAUGCCUAACACAUGCAAGUCGAACGAGACCUUCGGGUCUAGUGGCGCACGGGUGCGUAACGCGUGGGAACCUGCCCUUAGGUUCGGAAUAACUCCCCGAAAGGGGUGCUAAUACCGGAUAAUGUCUUCGGACCAAAGAUUUAUCGCCUUUGGAUGGGCCCGCGUUGGAUUAGCUAGUUGGUAGGGUAAAAGCCUACCAAGGCGACGAUCCAUAGCUGGUCGGAGAGGAUGAUCAGCCACACUGGGACUGAGACACGGCCCAGAAUCGUACGGGAGGGAGGAGUGGGGAAUAUUGGAAGAUGGGCGAAAGCCUGAUCAAGCAAUGCCGGGUGAGUGAUGCAGGCCUUAGGGUUGUAAAGCUCUUUUACCCGGGAUGAUAAUGACAGUACCGGGAGAAUAAGCUCCGGCUAACUCCGUG
This 433-nucleotide ribosomal RNA is filed under the name uncultured bacterium. RNAcentral's name for it is "partial 16S ribosomal RNA". It matches the Rfam family "Bacterial small subunit ribosomal RNA", at positions 29 to 507 of the family's 1533-position model. The record is from RNAcentral.